Molecule: RNA transcript, 2034 nt
Organism: Hordeum vulgare subsp. vulgare (domesticated barley)
Lineage: Eukaryota; Viridiplantae; Streptophyta; Magnoliopsida; Poales; Poaceae
Exons: 4
Source: RefSeq, a predicted model, not a curated record
CGCGAUCCCUGACCCAACCCGAGCCAGAGUGAACCCCACCCCGAAUCAUCCCGAGCCUUUCCCUCGCCGCCACCACACCUCAUCCCGCUCGCCGCCGACAUCUCCCCUCACCUCGCUCGUCGCCGCCCCUCACCCUGCUCUCUGUCGCCGCCUCACCUCACCCUGAUCUCCGCUGCUGGGGGCGGCGGAGCGACAAAGCGGCUCAAUGCAGAUGGGCGGCGGCGGCUGGAGUUGAAGGGGUCGGAUCCAUCCGUGGCAGGUGCUCGGGAGACGGAUCCAGAGGUGGGCGGCGAGACGGGAGUCACCGAUGAUGACGAGGAAGGCUGGAGCGCGACUUCCCGGGCGCAUCCAUGGCAUCCGCGGCUCCUAGGCAGAGAGGUGACAGGGAGGUGAGGGAGAGAAGAAGGGAGAAAGGAGGGACGAUGUGGCAACGUACCUCGCGGUAGCGCCCAUUACGUCGAGACGGCGUGGCCCCACGAGCUGCUACUCUGCCGUUCCCCUCCCCCUCCUCGCCGGCGGCUCUUCCUUCGUUGAAGCGUCCAGUAUGGCGAGACACCGGGGCUGCAUGGGCACCGCCAGGUCAACGGCUAAUACGGCGAGGCAGCGCGAGAUCCAGGGGCGACACCGGCCAAUACGGCGACUCGGCGAGGCGCUGGAUGUGUGGCGGCUGUACGUCCUCCUUUCCGGGCUCGACCUCCUGCCCGCGGUGCCCCCCACCCGCAUCACCAAGCAUCCCAACGGCGUCCACGUAUUUCCCGGUACCACCCACCUCCCCCUCCCCUGUUGCUUCACAUGAGUCCAUAGCUGACGGCGUCCGCCAUCUCCAAGCUCACGUAUGCAGGAAAUUCGCCGCCAUCCUGCAGCAAUCACAGCCCGCAAAGGCCCCGCUGGAGAGGAUGAUCGUCAAGAGGCUUGAGUUCAACAUGUCUGUUCCUAAUCCAUACUGCUUCAUGAGAAGGUUCCUCAAAGGCAACAGGGUCUGACAAGAAGCUGGAGCUGCUCUCCUUCUUCUUGAUUGAGCUGACGGCGUCCGCCGUCUCCAAGCUCAUGAAUACCCCGAUUUGACAGGGAGCAGCACAUGGAUGUUGAUUUUGUUAGCUAUGUUCUUAUUGAAGCCAACAUGGCUAUGUAGUUCUCGUCACGCACAAUUUGCUUGUUUUCAGCAUCAGCGGGAAGAAGAUGAUUUUUAACUUUUUUGAAAUGACUAAUUCAGUGAGGAUGCUAGACAACAAAAUAGAAGGAAUGUGGAUCUCAAAACUGAAGAAAAGCAGGAGACCUUGAUGGCUCUGUCAUCAGGAAAGAAGCGAUGAAGAUUCAGAAAAAAUGAUUUUUUUACAGCAACACAUCCGCUUGAGUGUUGCUGUAAAAAAAUCAUUUCGCUAAUUCAGUGAACAUUGUUUUGUUUUUCUGUAGCAAGUUAUUCUACGAAUUCUGAACACUAAGCAAGGAAAUCUGCACCUGCCAUUGUUCUCAGAAUGAGCUAAUUCUCUGAAAAUGAGUUUUGCUUUUUUUGUAUGAAUUCUGAAUAUUGUUCAAAGAAAACAGCAGCACCCAUUAUUCAACAUCAGUUUAGCCCCUUUUAACAGAAAGGAACAACUCUUUUUCUCGCUACUUCUAACUUUGUAUUGUGUUUUUUUGUGUAGGGAGGAGAAAUUGAUUCUCACACCACAAAAACAACAGAACAACACGGAUGUUAUUCAGGUUGACAUACCUUCAUAGACAAUCUAACCUCUACAAGGAUGAGUAAGAGAUGAAAAACAUCAAUUGAAAGCACCGCAAAGGCAGUCUUUCACACUAAAACAACAACGCAUGCCAUGCUUUUGUCCACUGUUCUUCGUGCUGAGAGUCGGUGGACGGGCGCUGGAGGGGGUCGGCGGUGCGGCAGGGGCGCAGUGGUGCGAGGGCGUUGGCCUCCGCUUGAACUAGUAAACUUACCAAAGCCUCUUUAUUGUUUUGUUGCUGACUCCUGUUUUGGAUCUGAAUGUGUAAAACAAGCAAACAUAACAUUAAGUCUAAUCUGGGAUUUGUAAGCCA